AGAUUAGAGUUUGAUCAUGGCUCAGAUUGAACGCUGGCGGAAUGCUUUACACAUGCAAGUCGAACGGUAACAGCAGAGCUUGCUCUGGCUGACGAGUGGCGGACGGGUGAGUAAUAUAUCGGAACGUGUCCAAUAAUGGGGGAUAACUAAUCGAAAGGUUGGCUAAUACCGCAUACGCCCUGAGGGGGAAAGCUGGGGAUCUUCGGACCUAGCGUUAAUGGAGCGGCCGAUACCUGAUUAGCUAGUUGGUGGGGUAAAAGCCUACCAAGGCAACGAUCAGUAGCUGGUCUGAGAGGACGACCAGCCACACUGGGACUGAGACACGGCCCAGACUCCUACGGGAGGCAGCAGUGGGGAAUUUUGGACAAUGGGGGCAACCCUGAUCCAGCCAUUCCGCGUGAGUGAAGAAGGCCUUCGGGUUGUAAAGCUCUUUCGCAAGGGAAGAAACGAUAUAGGUUAAUAGCCUAUGUUAAUGACGGUACCUUGACAAGAAGCACCGGCUAACUACGUGCCAGCAGCCGCGGUAAUACGUAGGGUGCAAGCGUUAAUCGGAAUUACUGGGCGUAAAGCGUGCGCAGGCGGUUUUGUAAGUCAGAUGUGAAAUCCCCGAGCUCAACUUGGGAACUGCGUUUGAAACUACAAGACUAGAAUAUGUCAGAGGGGGGUAGAAUUCCACGUGUAGCAGUGAAAUGCGUAGAGAUGUGGG
This 706-nucleotide ribosomal RNA is filed under the name uncultured bacterium. RNAcentral describes it as "bacterial SSU rRNA". It matches the Rfam family "Bacterial small subunit ribosomal RNA", at positions 1 to 702 of the family's 1533-position model. The record is from RNAcentral.